CCUACGUGAGGCAGCAGUGGGGAAUAUUGCGCAAUGGGCGAAAGCCUGACGCAGCGACGCCGCGUGAGGGAUGAAGGUCUUCGGAUCGUAAACCUCUGUCAGCAGGGAAGAACGGUCACUGUGCUAAUCAGCAGUGAAUUGACGGUACCUGCAAAGGAAGCACCGGCUAACUCCGUGCCAGCAGCCGCGGUAAUACGGAGGGUGCGAGCGUUAAUCGGAAUUACUGGGCGUAAAGCGCUCGUAGGCGGUAUGUCAAGUCAAGGGUGAAAUCCCCGCGCUCAACGUGGGAACUGCCUUUGAAACGGGCAAACUGGAGUGUGUGGGAGGAUAGUGGAAUUCCAGGUGUAGGAGUGAAAUCCGUAGAUAUCUGGAGGAACAUCAGUGGCGAAGGCGACUAUCUGGCACAUAACUGACGCUGAGGAGCGAAAGCGUGGGUAGCAAACAGGAUUAGAUACCCCUGUAGUC
Molecule: ribosomal RNA, 465 nt
Filed under: uncultured bacterium
Lineage: Bacteria
Description: partial 16S ribosomal RNA
Rfam family: Bacterial small subunit ribosomal RNA
Source: RNAcentral